RNAcentral lists this long non-coding RNA (212 nucleotides) under Bos taurus (domestic cattle). RNAcentral describes it as "long non-coding RNA NONBTAT004297". Lineage: Eukaryota; Metazoa; Chordata; Mammalia; Artiodactyla; Bovidae. The record is from RNAcentral.
GGUGGUGGUGGUUGCUAUGGAAUCUGUGCACGGCAGGGACUAGAGCAAGACUUCCCAAACUUAUUUUACUGGAAUACCAUUUGUGCAUUAUCUCCAGGUCCAUUUUAAGGAAGAUUGCAGACAUCAUUUUUCCUGGGGGAAAUCACCUGUAAAGAAUCUCUGAAUAAGCUUAAACUUAGUAAUAAAUCUUGAUAGUGUUCCCCCCCCCCCAA